GAUGAACGCUGGCGGCGUGCCUAAUACAUGCAAGUCGAGCGAACAGACGAGGAGCUUGCUCCUCUGACGUUAGCGGCGGACGGGUGAGUAACACGUGGAUAACCUACCUAUAAGACUGGGAUAACUUCGGGAAACCGGAGCUAAUACCGGAUAAUAUAUUGAACCGCAUGGUUCAAUAGUGAAAGACGGUUUUGCUGUCACUUAUAGAUGGAUCCGCGCCGCAUUAGCUAGUUGGUAAGGUAACGGCUUACCAAGGCAACGAUGCGUAGCCGACCUGAGAGGGUGACCGGCCACACUGGAACUGAGACACGGUCCAGACUCCUACGGGAGGCAGCAGUAGGGAAUCUUCCGCAAUGGGCGAAAGCCUGACGGAGCAACGCCGCGUGAGUGAUGAAGGUCUUCGGAUCGUAAAACUCUGUUAUUAGGGAAGAACAAAUGUGUAAGUAACUAUGCACGUCUUGACGGUACCUAAUCAGAAAGCCACGGCUAACUACGUG
Molecule: ribosomal RNA, 497 nt
Filed under: uncultured bacterium
Lineage: Bacteria
Description: partial 16S ribosomal RNA
Rfam family: Bacterial small subunit ribosomal RNA
Source: RNAcentral